CCCGUAACUUCGGGAGAAGGGGCGCUGACUUAUGGUCAGCCGCAGUGAAUAGGCCCGCGGCGCAUUAGCUAGUUGGUGGGGUAAUGGCCUACCAAGGCGACGAUGCGUAGCCGACCUGAGAGGACGAUCAGCCACACUGGGACUGAGACACGGCCCAGACUCCUACGGGAGGCAGCAGUGGGGUAAUUUUCCGCAAUGGGCGAAAGCCUGACGGAGCAAGACCGCGUGGGGAAGAAGGCUCUUGGGUUGUAAAC
RNAcentral lists this ribosomal RNA (254 nucleotides) under uncultured cyanobacterium. Its description in RNAcentral is "partial 16S ribosomal RNA". It matches the Rfam family "Bacterial small subunit ribosomal RNA", at positions 183 to 430 of the family's 1533-position model. Lineage: Bacteria; Bacillati; Cyanobacteriota. The record is from RNAcentral.